RNAcentral lists this transfer RNA (66 nucleotides) under Propeamussium sp. mt1. RNAcentral describes it as "tRNA-Ser". Lineage: Eukaryota; Metazoa; Mollusca; Bivalvia; Pectinida; Propeamussiidae. The record is from RNAcentral.
GGUGCUGCCUAUCGGGGAGUUUGGUUUGAACCCAUAUUUUAAGGAAGUGAGGUUCUUUCAGUGCUA